RNAcentral lists this ribosomal RNA (350 nucleotides) under Escherichia coli. RNAcentral's name for it is "partial 23S ribosomal RNA". It matches the Rfam family "Bacterial large subunit ribosomal RNA", at positions 1 to 378 of the family's 2925-position model. The record is from RNAcentral. Lineage: Bacteria; Pseudomonadati; Pseudomonadota; Gammaproteobacteria; Enterobacterales; Enterobacteriaceae.
GGGUUGUGAGGUUAAGCGACUAAGCGUACACGGUGGAUGCCCUGGCAGUCAGAGGCGAUGAAGGACGUGCUAAUCUGCGAUAAGCGUCGGUAAGGUGAUAUGAACCGUUAUAACCGGCGAUUUCCGAAUGGGGAAACCCAGUGUGUUUCGACACACUAUCAUUAACUGAAUCCAUAGGUUAAUGAGGCGAACCGGGGGAACUGAAACAUCUAAGUACCCCGAGGAAAAGAAAUCAACCGAGAUUCCCCCAGUAGCGGCGAGCGAACGGGGAGCAGCCCAGAGCCUGAAUCAGUGUGUGUGUUAGUGGAAGCGUCUGGAAAGGCGCGCGAUACAGGGUGACAGCCCCGUAC